CUCAGCCUGAGGAGUACAGGGGACACAGGAGGGGGAGACUCAGUCUGGCCCUCGUCCUCACCCAGCCCGGCCCCAAGCCCUGUCCACUUGUGGGGCUAUAAGGAUUCAUCGUUGGUUUAAGAAAGAUAGAUUAGAAGACUUGCUUCCUCAACCCACAGCUGCACCAUCUAUGUCUAAAAAUACUGGAAAGAUGAAAAUGGGAUAUCAAGAGAGCUCUCUGAGUAGCAGAAGGGAAGAAUGUACUCCAAAGAAAUUGUGCAAAAAGUCACCUAGAUGUGAAUGUGCCUUGAACAUAUGCUCAUUCCCCAUUUAAUAAGUUCUGUGAGAAGAAGCAGUGGCAGCUUCAAGAGGUAAAAUUCUGCCCUGGAAAAUAAGAUGGUGAACUGCUGAGUCCAGAAUGAAGACCAGAAACCAGGAAGCCCGAAGCCUAAUGUCCGGUAUGCGCAUCAAGUAUGAUCAUUGUGGUUUAAAUGGCUGCUUCCUUCCCUUCACAAGCUGCCAAACAGGGAUGUGGGUAAUGAUCACAAUUUGCUGUAUCUUCAGGUUAUCUUUACAUACAAACUGAAACCAUUAUUAUGAAAUAAAAUGGAGCACUAAUAUGGGA
Suricata suricatta (meerkat) is the source of this 604-nucleotide long non-coding RNA. RefSeq lists it as uncharacterized. The transcript is spliced from 3 exons. The record is from RefSeq and is a predicted model, not a curated record. NCBI's taxonomy places the organism in Eukaryota, Metazoa, Chordata, Mammalia, Carnivora, Herpestidae.